This is a long non-coding RNA of Columba livia (rock pigeon), 1842 nucleotides long. RefSeq lists it as uncharacterized. The record is from RefSeq and is a predicted model, not a curated record. Lineage: Eukaryota; Metazoa; Chordata; Aves; Columbiformes; Columbidae. The transcript is spliced from 6 exons.
CAGCUACAACGCUCUCCGUGUGUGCCGCAGCCGUCCCGGGCCUUGUGCUGAGACCGAGCUCAUCACUUGCACAAGUACAGGCUGUCCUGGUUAGCGCUGCCGAAGCUUCUGCGGUAACGAGCGUGGUUGGGAGAUGCAGCGCAGGAGCUGCUGUUGUGCUUGCAGGGAAAACUGGCUGCUCUCGGUGUGGGAAAGCAGGAGGAUUCGUUCUGUUCCCGCCUGAGCUGUGGUGGAUGAGGAGGUUCUGAGUGCCGCGCAGGACGGAGUUUUCAGCCAGUUGGUGCUGCCGAGUGUCCCGAGUGACCCCCGGUCCCGGGAACCCCCGUAGCUGAGCCCACAACUGACGGCCUGGUGGUGCUUUGUGCAGGUGGCAGCGCAGAGGCCGACAUGGAAACCCGGUUGUCCCCAGCACGUUCCUGUUGGAGCAGCGCGUGUCCUGUGCAGCUUCGUGUGGGACAAGGGAGGCGACUGUGUCCGUGUUGACUCCGCCCUGCCUUCCAGGAGAAACAGCUACAACGCUCUCCCUGUGUGCCGCAGCCGUCCCGGGCCUUGUGCUGAGACCGAGCUCAUCACUUGCACAAGUACAGGCUGUCCUGGUUAGCGCUGCCGAAGCUUCUGCGGUAACGAGCGUGGUUGGGAGAUGCAGCGCAGGAGCUGCUGUUGUGCUUGCAGGGAAAACUGGCUGCUCUCGGUGUGGGAAAGCAGGAGGAUUCGUUCUGUUCCCGCCUGAGCUGUGGUGGAUGAGGAGGUUCUGAGUGCCGCGCAGGACGGAGUUUUCAGCCAGUUGGUGCUGCCGAGUGUCCCGAGUGACCCCCGGUCCCGGGAACCCCCGUAGCUGAGCCCACAACUGACGGCCUGGUGGUGCUUUGUGCAGGUGGCAGCGCAGAGGCCGACAUGGAAACCCGGUUGUCCCCAGCACGUUCCUGUUGGAGCAGCGCGUGUCCUGUGCAGCUUCGUGUGGGACAAGGGAGGCGACUGUGUCCGUGUUGACUCCGCCCUGCCUUCCAGGAGAAACAGCUACAACGCUCUCCCUGUGUGCCGCAGCCGUCCCGGGCCUUGUGCUGAGACCGAGCUCAUCACUUGCACAAGUACAGGCUGUCCUGGUUAGCGCUGCCGAAGCUUCUGCGGUAACGAGCGUGGUUGGGAGAUGCAGCGCAGGAGCUGCUGUUGUGCUUGCAGGGAAAACUGGCUGCUCUCGGUGUGGGAAAGCAGGAGGAUUCGUUCUGUUCCCGCCUGAGCUGUGGUGGAUGAGGAGGUUCUGAGUGCCGCGCAGGACGGCAAUACAUGCUAGCAGCUGGUCUACAUUAUCUUGCAGCUCAUAGCGCCACUCUGCUUGAACAGUAAUCACUUCUUGUGUGAUCGCCUUUGCAUCCUGUAAAAUCUCAACCUCCUUUUCCAGUUCUCUUCUUUUACUCUGCAAUGCAACAACGUCACCAUCAAGAGCUCUAAGACCGGUAACAAACAACCAUCCCAACCUCCCUUGGAUUGCUUGGAUUUUCUGGAUUUCUGCAGGAGAAAAUCGACCCCAGCAUCAGUUGGACCCCAGAAGGACGUUGCUGGAAAAUGCGUGGCCAGGUUCCAGUGACGUGUUGGCUUGGGCGUGAAUGACUGGAAGUGCCUGUUGGGAGAGCAAAGCUGCCCGGUGUUAACAAACGCUGCUGCCGAGAUUUGGGGGUAAAAGUGCCACAAAUGUGAUUUCCCAGGGAAAACAGAGAAGUUUGUCAAUGCCUGGUUGUUAUAUGGCACAUUGUAAUUAAGCCCAGUGGUAAUUUUGCAUUGAUUUUACACAGGAUAACUGACUGUAACAGACUGGUUGCAUCAAAUAAAUGUUGACUUGCUGCA